This 832-nucleotide ribosomal RNA is filed under the name uncultured bacterium. RNAcentral describes it as "bacterial SSU rRNA". It matches the Rfam family "Bacterial small subunit ribosomal RNA", at positions 554 to 1395 of the family's 1533-position model. The record is from RNAcentral.
CUGGGCGUAAAGGGUGUGUAGGAGGUCGGAAAAGUCGAAUGUGAAAUCCCUCUGCCUAACGGAGGAACUGCGUUCGGAACUGUCUGGCUAGAGGUUCGGAUGGGGAAGCGGAACUCUCGGUGUAGCAGUGAAAUGCGUAGAUAUCGAGAGGAACACCGGUGGCGAAGGCGGCUUCCUGGACGAAACCUGACUCUGAAACACGAAAGCUAGGGGAGCAAACGGGAUUAGAUACCCCGGUAGUCCUAGCUGUAAACGGUGUGCGUUAGGUGUUGGCGGAUUCGACCCCGCCGGUGCCGAAGCUAACGCAUUAAACGCACCGCCUGAGGAGUACGGUCGCAAGGCUAAAACUCAAAGAAAUUGACGGGGGCCCGCACAAGCGGUGGAGCAUGUGGCUUAAUUCGAUGCAACGCGAAGAACCUUACCUGGCCUUGACAUGCAGCGUUCAGUCCCGGAAACGGGAUGGCCCGCAAGGGCGAGCUGCACAGGUGCUGCGUGGCUGUCGUCAGCUCGUGUCGUGAGAUGUUGGGUUAAGUCCCCCAACGAGCGCAACCCCUGUGUCUAGUUGCCGAAAGGUUCUCUAGACAGACUGCCCUCUUCAAGGGGGAGGAAGGUGGGGACGACGUCAAGUCAGGAUGGCCCUUAUGGCCAGGGCUGCACACGUGCUACAAUGCUCGGCACAAAGGGAAGCAAGACCGCGAGGUGGAGCAAAUCCCCAAAACCGAGCCCAGUUCGGAUUGAAGGCUGCAACUCGCCUUCAUGAAGCCGGAAUCGCUAGUAAUCGCGGAUCAGCUUGCCGCGGUGAAUACGUUCCCGGGUCUUGUACUCACCGCCC